GAUGCUCUGGGGGCUCGCUUUUAAAACAGUGGACCCUAUGUCAUAUGGAUCGGGAGCUGUACCUCUGCAGCGGUGUGCAUGCCUAGUUUACUAGGAAGCCUAAAACUGCGAAACGGCGCCCACUUGAAUUUCGGGUUCCAUCUGGCUUAAGCGACCCCCAGAGCACUU
This 168-nucleotide non-coding RNA is filed under the name Pseudomonadota bacterium. Its description in RNAcentral is "Proteobacteria bacterium 6S RNA". It matches the Rfam family "6S / SsrS RNA". From Rfam's summary of the family: E. coli 6S RNA was the first non coding RNA to be sequenced, but its function was unknown until recently. Lineage: Bacteria; Pseudomonadati; Pseudomonadota. The record is from RNAcentral.